AGUGAACGCUGGCGGUAGGCCUAACACAUGCAAGUCGAACGGCAGCACAGUAAGAGCUUGCUCUUACGGGUGGCGAGUGGCGGACGGGUGAGGAAUACAUCGGAAUCUACUUUUUCGUGGGGGAUAACGUAGGGAAACUUACGCUAAUACCGCAUACGACCUACGGGUGAAGGCAGGGGAUCUUCGGACCUUGCGCGAUUGAAUGAGCCGAUGUCGGAUUAGCUAGUUGGCGGGGUAAAGGCCCACCAAGGCGACGAUCCGUAGCUGGUCUGAGAGGAUGAUCAGCCACACUGGAACUGAGACACGGUCCAGACUCCUACGGGAGGCAGCAGUGGGGAAUAUUGGACAAUGGGCGCAAGCCUGAUCCAGCCAUACCGCGUGGGUGAAGAAGGCCUUCGGGUUGUAAAGCCCUUUUGUUGGGAAAGAAAAGCAGCAGGUUAAUACCCCGCUGUUCUGACGGUACCCAAAGAAUAAGCACCGGCUAACCUCGUC
Molecule: ribosomal RNA, 492 nt
Filed under: uncultured bacterium
Lineage: Bacteria
Description: partial 16S ribosomal RNA
Rfam family: Bacterial small subunit ribosomal RNA
Source: RNAcentral